AACGCAGACCGCACUUUGCAUAUCACUUGUGUUAUCGCAAGGUAUUUACGUAUGAGUGUCAGCCUAAUAUAUUUUUGGUUUGAGGGUAUAUUAAUUUAUAUUUUCGAAUUCACAUGCAUGUAUCAUUUUUGAUACAAGCAUUUAACAAAUAUUAUGUCUGGCCUCAUAUGUGAAAGAUUACCCGCUGGAUUUAA
This 194-nucleotide unclassified non-coding RNA is filed under the name Metazoa environmental sample. RNAcentral's name for it is "sequence contains 5.8S rRNA gene, ITS2, 28S rRNA gene". The record is from RNAcentral. Lineage: Eukaryota; Metazoa.